GAGUUUGAUCCUGGCUCAGAUUGAACGUUGGCGGCAGGUCUCAUACAUGCAAGUCGAACGAGAAAGGUCCUUCGGGGCCGAGUAAAGUGGCGGACGGGUGAGUAACGCGUAGGAAUCUACCUAGUAGUGGGGGACAACCCGAGGAAACUCGGGCUAAUACCGCAUACGACCUAGGGGUGAAAGCGGGGGAUUUUCGAACCUCGCGCUAUUAGAGGAGCCUGCGUUGGAUUAACUUGUUGGUGGGGUAAUGGCCUACCAAGGCGACGAUCCAUAGCUGGUCUGAGAGGAUGAUCAGCCACACUGGAACUGAGACACGGUCCAGACUCCUACGGGAGGCAGCAGUAAAGAAUAUUGCGCAAUGGGCGAAAGCCUGACGCAGCCAUGCCGCGUGUGUGAAGAAGGCCUUAGGGUUGUAAAGCACUUUCAGUGGCGAAGAAAAGUGAGGGGUUAAUACCUCCGCUCUUUGACGUUAACCACAGAAGAAGGUCCGGCUAACUCCGUGCCAGCAGCCGCGGUAAUACAGGGGGACCGAACGUUAAUCGGAAUUACUGGGCGUAAAGCGCACGUAGGCGGUUCGUUAAGUGGGAUGUGAAAGCCCUAGGCUCAACCUAGGAAUUGCAUCUCAAACUGACGGACUAGAGUGUAGUAAAAGGGGAGGUGGUAAACGAUGAGAACUAGCCGUUGGGCCCCAUUGGGGCUUGGUGGCGCAGCUAACGCGUUAAGUUCUCCGCCUGGGGAGUACGGCCGCAAGGCUAAAACUCAAAUGAAUUGACGGGGGCCCGCACAAGCGGUGGAGCAUGUUCUUUAAUUCGAUGCAACGCGAAGAACCUUACCACCCCUUGACAUCCACGGAACUUUCUAGAGAUAGAUUGGUGCCUUCGGGAACCGUGUGACAGGUGCUGCAUGGCUGUCGUCAGCUCGUGUCGUGAGAUGUUGGGUUAAGUCCCGUAACGAGCGCAACCCCUAUCCUUAUUUGCCAGCGGAUUAUGCCGGGAACUCUAAGGAGACUGCCGGUGACAAACCGGAGGAAGGCGGGGACGAGGUCAAGUCAUCAUGGCCCUUAUGGGGUGGGCUAGAAACGUGCUACAAUGGGAAGUACAGAGGGCUGCAAACCCGCGAGGGUUAGCGAAUCCCACAAAGCUUCUCGUAGUCCGGAUAGGAGUCUGCAACUCGACUCCUUGAAGUUGGAAUCGCUAGUAAUCGCGAAUCAGAAUGUCGCGGUGAAUACGUUCCCGGGCCUUGUACACACCGCCCGUCACAUCAUGGAAGUGGGUUGCACCAGAAGUAGCUAGUCUAACCUUCGGGAGGGCGGCUACCACGGUGUGGUUCAUGACUAGGAUGAAGUCGUAACAAGGUAGCCGUAGGGGAACCUGCGGCUGGAUCACCUCCUUUCU
RNAcentral lists this ribosomal RNA (1394 nucleotides) under uncultured organism. Its description in RNAcentral is "partial 16S ribosomal RNA". It matches the Rfam family "Bacterial small subunit ribosomal RNA". The record is from RNAcentral.